AGUGAACGCUGGCGGUAGGCCUAACACAUGCAAGUCGAACGGCAGCACAGUAGGAGCUUGCUCUUACGGGUGGCGAGUGGCGGACGGGUGAGGAAUACAUCGGAAUCUACUUUUUCGUGGGGGAUAACGUAGGGAAACUUACGCUAAUACCGCAUACGACCUACGGGUGAAAGCAGGGGAUCUUCGGACCUUGCGCGAUUGAAUGAGCCGAUGUCGGAUUAGCUAGUUGGCGGGGUAAAGGCCCACCAAGGCGACGAUCCGUAGCUGGUCUGAGAGGAUGAUCAGCCACACUGGAACUGAGACACGGUCCAGACUCCUACGGGAGGCAGCAGUGGGGAAUAUUGGACAAUGGGCGCAAGCCUGAUCCAGCCAUACUGCGUGGGUGAAGAAGGCCUUCGGGUUGUAAAGCCCUUUUGUUGGGAAAGAAAAGCAGUAGGUUAAUACCCCGCUGUUCUGACGGUACCCAAAGAAUAAGCACCGGCUAACUUCGUG
RNAcentral lists this ribosomal RNA (492 nucleotides) under uncultured bacterium. RNAcentral describes it as "partial 16S ribosomal RNA". It matches the Rfam family "Bacterial small subunit ribosomal RNA", at positions 29 to 507 of the family's 1533-position model. The record is from RNAcentral.